AGUGAAGCGGCAACAGCUCAAAUUUGAAAUCUGGCCCUUGUGGUCCGAGUUGUAAUUUGUAGAGGAUGCUUUUGGUGAGGUACCUUCCGAGUUCCCUGGAACGGGACGCCAUAGAGGGUGAGAGCCCCGUCUGGUUGGAUACCGAUCCUCUGUAAAGCUCCUUCGACGAGUCGAGUAGUUUGGGAAUGCUGCUCUAAAUGGGAGGUAUAUGUCUUCUAAAGCUAAAUAUUGGCCAGAGACCGAUAGCGCACAAGUAGAGUGAUCGAAAGAUGAAAAGCACUUUGAAAAGAGGGUUAAAUAGUACGUGAAAUUGUUGAAAGGGAAGCGCUUGUGACCAGACUUGGGCUUGGUUAAUCAUCCAGGGUUCUCCCUGGUGCACUUGGCCAGCCCAGGCCAGCAUCAGUUUGUCGCGGGGGAUAAAGGCGUUGGGAAUGUGGCUCCCCCGGGAGUGUUAUAGCCCUUCGUGUAAUACCCUGCUUUAGACUGAGGUUCGCGCAUCUGCAAGGAUGCUGGCGUAAUGGUCAUCAGCGACCCGUCUUGAAACACGGACCAAGGAGUCGUCUUCGUAUGCGAGUGUUCGGGUGUCAAACCCCUACGCGUAAUGAAAGUGAACGCAGGUGAGAGCUUCGGCGCAUCAUCGACCGAUCCUGAUGUUCUCGGAUGGAUUUGAGUAAGAGCAUACGGGGCCGGACCCGAAAGAAGGUGAACUAUGCCUGUGUAGGGUGAAGCCAGAGGAAACUCUGGUGGAGGCUCGCAGCGGUUCUGACGUGCAAAUCGAUCGUCAAACAUGGGCAUGGGGGCGAAAGACUA
RNAcentral lists this ribosomal RNA (810 nucleotides) under Nectria cinnabarina. RNAcentral's name for it is "eukaryotic LSU rRNA". It matches the Rfam family "Eukaryotic large subunit ribosomal RNA", at positions 92 to 933 of the family's 3401-position model. Lineage: Eukaryota; Fungi; Ascomycota; Sordariomycetes; Hypocreales; Nectriaceae. The record is from RNAcentral.